UAGGGUUUUCUUGGCAAGGAUACUGGAGUGGUUUGCCAUUUCCUUCAACAGCUCGUUUAACAGAUGAGGAAACAGAGGUUAUACUUUUGACUCUUAUCAGACUGGAACUUCUUUCUUGUCCCUACUCCGAACCCUGGGGAGAGCAGCCUCCAUUUUUUCAGAUUCUAUGGAGAUACUGUGUCAGAGGCUGGCACUAAAGAAAAGUGCAAGGCUGAAGAGUGUGUGGAACUGAUCUCCUUGUCAGAGGUGGGGUCCCAGGAGAUUGGAAUCUUGAGGAGCAGAAGAUCUGGCUGGUAGAGGAGUUGGUCUCUCAGUCGAAAGAAGCCAAAGAGAGAAAGUUGAAUAAGACUUUCUCCUGAGGGUUGCCUACUUUUUCAUGCUUGUGACUGGAAAUCCUUCCCCCCAACAUUUCCCAAUUGAAGAGACUCACUAAAGAGAAACCUGAGAAAAGGCAUUUUGAAUCUCUGUCAGACUUUACCUCAGCUCCUGUUGCCCUGGGUCUGAACUGUGGCCAAGGGGCCAAACCCAGGGUGAGCCAACCUGACUUUCUCUCAGGGGGCUUAGGCUGCUAAGGCCUGAGUUCCCCCCCAAACUUGAGGAGGGAGGGGAAAGAGUUUUAGAUAGAGACAGGGACCCCCUUUUUCUCACUUUCCUUUCCCAUUCUUUCCCUGCCAAUUAUUCCUUUGUAUUACCCUGAUUGAGUUAAUUUGACAUUAAGAUUGUUAUUUUUUCCCCAA
Molecule: long non-coding RNA, 737 nt
Organism: Monodelphis domestica (gray short-tailed opossum)
Lineage: Eukaryota; Metazoa; Chordata; Mammalia; Didelphimorphia; Didelphidae
Source: RefSeq, a predicted model, not a curated record